Molecule: long non-coding RNA, 283 nt
Filed under: Trifolium pratense (red clover)
Lineage: Eukaryota; Viridiplantae; Streptophyta; Magnoliopsida; Fabales; Fabaceae
Description: long non-coding RNA (TPRA_LNC008458)
Source: RNAcentral
UUAAAUCGACUCAUUCUUGCUGCAUUUUUUGAAGCAAAUUCAUGAAUCAAGUCUUCAUAUUGUAUGUCAUCCAAGAGAUUAUUCUCAAUUGCUAUCAAUGCUAAGCCGUUAAGUCUUUCUUGUAACAUGGUAGACCGCAAGUAAGACUUCAACAACUUCAAUUUUGAAAAGCUUCUUUAUGCAGAGGCAACUGUCACAGGAAUAGUUAAUAAAAUUCUAUAUGCAAUAAUUGUAUUAGGAAAACAAUUCAUGCCUUUCAAAAAAUUUAAUAUAUCAAUAGGCC